UACGAAGGGUGCAAGCGUUACUCGGAAUUACUGGGCGUAAAGCGUGCGUAGGUGGUGAGUUAAGUCUGUCGUGAAAGCCCCCGGGCUCAACCUGGGAAUGGCGAUGGAUACUGGCUCGCUAGAGUGCGGUAGAGGAGAGUGGAAUUCCCGGUGUAGCAGUGAAAUGCGUAGAGAUCGGGAGGAACAUCAGUUGCGAAGGCGGCUCUCGUGGACCAGCACUGACGCUGAGGCUCGAAAGCGUGGGGAGCAACAGG
RNAcentral lists this ribosomal RNA (254 nucleotides) under uncultured bacterium. RNAcentral describes it as "partial 16S ribosomal RNA". It matches the Rfam family "Bacterial small subunit ribosomal RNA", at positions 524 to 775 of the family's 1533-position model. The record is from RNAcentral.